GACGAACGCUGGCGGCGUGCCUAAUACAUGCAAGUAGAACGCUGAAGGAGGAGCUUGCUCUUCUGGAUGAGUUGCGAACGGGUGAGUAACGCGUAGGUAACCUGCCUGGUAGCGGGGGAUAACUAUUGGAAACGAUAGCUAAUACCGCAUAACAGUAGAUGUUGCAUGACAUUUGCUUAAAAGGUGCAAUUGCACCACUACCAGAUGGACCUGCGUUGUAUUAGCUAGUUGGUGGGGUAACGGCUCACCAAGGCGACGAUACAUAGCCGACCUGAGAGGGUGAUCGGCCACACUGGGACUGAGACACGGCCCAGACUCCUACGGGAGGCAGCAGUAGGGAAUCUUCGGCAAUAGACGGAAGUCUGACCGAGCAACGCCGCGUGAGUGAAGAAGGUUUUCGGAUCGUAAAGCUCUGUUGUAAGAGAAGAACGAGUGUGAGAGUGGAAAGUUCACACUGUGACGGUAUCUUACCAGAAAGGGACGGCUAACUACGUG
This 495-nucleotide ribosomal RNA is filed under the name uncultured bacterium. RNAcentral describes it as "partial 16S ribosomal RNA". It matches the Rfam family "Bacterial small subunit ribosomal RNA", at positions 28 to 507 of the family's 1533-position model. The record is from RNAcentral.